GUGUAGUGUCUGUACAGCUCCCAUUACAGACUCUGUAGCCUUAGACCUCCGGACCUCCGCUGACUGUAUCAGCUGUCUAUCAGACCUGUGUGUGAUGCUGCAGCUGCUGAGCAAACAGCCUGACAAGGUGGCCUUUGGUGAUUAUACAGUAUAUUUAAGCUUGAUUCUCAAGUGGCUGGAGGAGGACCAGCAUGACACCACAAAGCCAUUUUGAAGGACCUGGGAAUGAAAUCAGAAAAGAAAAAAAAGAAGAUGGAGUGGAUACUAACAUGG
Hyla sarda is the source of this 273-nucleotide long non-coding RNA. RefSeq lists it as uncharacterized. The transcript has 3 exons. The record is from RefSeq and is a predicted model, not a curated record. NCBI's taxonomy places the organism in Eukaryota, Metazoa, Chordata, Amphibia, Anura, Hylidae.